Molecule: small nuclear RNA, 159 nt
Filed under: Operophtera brumata (winter moth)
Lineage: Eukaryota; Metazoa; Arthropoda; Insecta; Lepidoptera; Geometridae
Description: U2 spliceosomal RNA
Rfam family: U2 spliceosomal RNA (bases 1-99)
About the family: U2 is a small nuclear RNA (snRNA) component of the spliceosome (involved in pre-mRNA splicing). Complementary binding between U2 snRNA (in an area lying towards the 5' end but 3' to hairpin I) and the branchpoint sequence (BPS) of the intron results the bulging out of an unpaired adenosine, on the BPS, which initiates a nucleophilic attack at the intronic 5' splice site, thus starting the first of two transesterification reactions that mediate splicing.
Source: Rfam by way of RNAcentral
AUCGCUUCUCAGCCGUUUGGCUAAGAUCAAAGUGUGGUAUCUGUUUUUUCAGCUUGAGGUGGAUUGUUACGAUUUUUAUUGGUGUUUUUUCUAACUUCAGCUCAUGAACACAGAUAGCAAAAGUUGAUUUCGCGGGAACUAGGAGACUUAACACACAUG